RNAcentral lists this unclassified non-coding RNA (329 nucleotides) under Hevea brasiliensis (rubber tree). Lineage: Eukaryota; Viridiplantae; Streptophyta; Magnoliopsida; Malpighiales; Euphorbiaceae. The record is from RNAcentral.
GGAAUAAUUAAAAAAAUAUAUUUUUAAUCAUAUUUUUAUGUAAUUAUAUAAUGUACAUAAAAAAUAUAUAAGAUAUUUUUAAACAAAAUCUUCAGAAUUCUAAGGGUGAUAUGUGUUCAGUAGAUCAGUAAUAAGAAGGUCAAUUAGAUAAUUAAAAACAUUAGAAAUAAGUUAAAAUAUGUAAAAAUCAGUAAUUAAAUGCCUUUCAUAUGUUGGAUUUAAUGAUGAUGUCCACAAGUGGUUAUCACCUUUCAUCUCUAUAGUUAAUGGUGAACUAAGUUCACCCAAGAAUUUAGAAUUGACAGUAUUGUAUCAGGUUUGAAUUUCUG